UCAGCCGUUUCUUCUGCCAUUGUCAUUGUCUUUCCCAACCGGUGAAACAGCGCCCCCCUUGUUUGGCUUGUCAUGUUGACAGUGGUGAUGCUUGGUACUGCACCCCCUCAGUAGAGGCAAUCAGACUGGGGCCGGCUGCAAGGGACAUCCUUUGAUUACUGAAAAGUUAAAUCAGUCCAUUUUAAGCGGUCGCUGUGAACUCUUAUUGAAACUGUGCUGAAACUUGGCAACAACUGUGAAGUUAAGUCGGUCAGAAAAAAAAAAUACGCUGAGUUAGUAAGAAUAUUCAAACAAAAUAAUUAGCUAUUUUCCGAGCAUUGAUUAUCCUUAUUGUACCUUGUUUAGCUAGCAGCAGUGGAGGCGCUAACAAAACAUAAUUAGCAUCACAGCAAAACAGGUGCUGGCACAUGGAUGUUGGCCACCCCACCUCCUAGAAGGAGGAAGGAAAGUCUCCUCAGAUAAGGGUUGUUCCUGUCGCUGAUACUGCCAAAAAUGGUGGAUUGUGUAAUCAGGUGUGUUUGACGAAACAAUGGAAUGUUUUCCAGCUGUGUUUGCCGCGACAGAACCAAGGUGAGCCUUGUUUUAGGUGGUUAAAUUUUGCUUUGCAUCUGGACUCCAUUAACUGCAGUACAAAGCUGAGCAUCUGGGCUGGAGCGGCUCUCUCCUUCUCCCAACUGAGGCUGCACUUACCGGUAACUACGUGUCCAGAGAGGAACAUCAAAGCUGCUGAUAAGCUCGACCCUUAGAGGGAACAAGGCUGUUCCGCCCUCCUCAUCCCGUUCCAAUUAGUGCGGAGGUUUCUGAUUAAAAACACCAGGUAAGCCAGGAUUUCCGGGGAAACCAUUCCUGCCUGCAGGGCCCGGCUCUCCGCGGGGUCCCUGCCUACCAGGUGCUCCAGGGGGCCCUGCAGGGCCGGGGCUGUUGCUGCGGUACAUGCCGUUGGGGAUCUGGUUAAGUAACGUGUUGACACGAGUCAUUUGUGCUGCAGCAACAGAGGAGGAGAAAGAAGAGAAGAACCCUGGAUAUCCACAGUUGGACCGCAGCUCCUCGUAUAUUUUCAGAUAAAACAACUUACGUUAAGAGGAGGAUGUAGCGGCUGACUGCAGGCCAACACUUAAAACCAGCGUUGUUAAUCAAGAGCUGCACUUACUUUCUGUCCAGGUAAGCCAGAGUCACCGGCAUCUCCCUUUGGUCCAGGACGGCCCUGAAGAGAGAACACAUCAACAUGAAUCAACAGAACAUUUCUGUGACCCACACAUCAGUAGCAUGUCCUGCCAGUGGUGUUAUCUCAGCCAAUAGACACAGUCAGAUGAAGCUGUGAGACUUUACAGAUGCAGUGAUGGAUAAAGAAGUGUUCAGCUUGUUGUUGUUUUGAGAAAUGGAAGCAAAAACAAAACUUCUCACCUGUUUAGGGUUUUAUUAAUAUUGGCUCACAUUUUAUGUCUUCCUUUGCAUCAUGCUUUGUGUUUAUUGACUAUUUUGUUCAUGUUAUUUUAAAGUAUUAAGUGGUGUUUUUGUAUUAUACAUCUUUGGAUCUUGGUGCAGAUUUGUGUUUUUUAAGUUCUUCCUUUCUAACAUUGUUACAAAACGGCUUCUAAUUUCUAGUUUAAUAGUUUGAAAGAGGCUGAGCAAAUACAUGGGUCUGAAAUAAAGUUCUAUGCAACUGAAA
Long non-coding RNA from Acanthopagrus latus (yellowfin seabream), 1669 nucleotides. RefSeq lists it as uncharacterized. The transcript is spliced from 7 exons. The record is from RefSeq and is a predicted model, not a curated record. Lineage: Eukaryota; Metazoa; Chordata; Actinopteri; Spariformes; Sparidae.